This 77-nucleotide non-coding RNA is filed under the name Hyella patelloides LEGE 07179. The record is from RNAcentral. Lineage: Bacteria; Bacillati; Cyanobacteriota; Cyanophyceae; Pleurocapsales; Pleurocapsaceae.
AGGAGCGGAGUGAGGGGAAACUUUCACGCUCCGUUUUGCAGACGAGUCGGAGAGGUGACUCUUCGGCUUAGUUCAAC